RNAcentral lists this ribosomal RNA (301 nucleotides) under uncultured bacterium. Its description in RNAcentral is "partial 16S ribosomal RNA". It matches the Rfam family "Bacterial small subunit ribosomal RNA", at positions 509 to 807 of the family's 1533-position model. The record is from RNAcentral.
CAGUCGCCGCGGGAAUACAGAGGGUGCGAGCGUUAAUCGGAUUUACUGGGCGUAAAGCGCGCGUAGGCGGUUACUCAAGUCAGAGGUGAAAGCCCGGGGCUCAACCCCGGAACUGCCUUUGAAACUAGGUGACUAGAAUCUUGGAGAGGUCAGUGGAAUUCCGAGUGUAGAGGUGAAAUUCGUAGAUAUUCGGAAGAACACCAGUGGCGAAGGCGACUGACUGGACAAGUAUUGACGCUGAGGUGCGAAAGCGUGGGGAGCAAACAGGAUUAGAGACCCCAGUAGUCCCUGUCUCUUAUAC